GGAAGUAAAAGUCGUAACAAGGUCUCCGUUGGUGAACCAGCGGAGGGAUCAUUACCGAGUUUACAACUCCCAAACCCAAUGUGAACGUUACCAAACUGUUGCCUCGGCGGGAUCUCUGCCCCGGGUGCGUCGCAGCCCCGGACCAAGGCGCCCGCCGGAGGACCAACCAAAACUCUUUAUGUAUACCCCCUCGCGGGUUUUUUUACUAUCUGAGCCAUCUCGGCGCCCCUCGUGGGCGUUUCGAAAAUGAAUCAAAACUUUCAACAACGGAUCUCUUGGUUCUGGCAUCGAUGAAGAACGCAGCGAAAUGCGAUAAGUAAUGUGAAUUGCAGAAUUCAGUGAAUCAUCGAAUCUUUGAACGCACAUUGCGCCCGCCAGUAUUCUGGCGGGCAUGCCUGUCCGAGCGUCAUUUCAACCCUCGAACCCCUCCGGGGGGUCGGCGUUGGGGAUCGGCCCUUUACGGGGCCGGCCCCGAAAUACAGUGGCGGUCUCGCCGCAGCCUCUCCUGCGCAGUAGUUUGCACACUCGCAUCGGGAGCGCGGCGCGUCCAUUGCCGUAAAACACCCAACUUUCUGAAAUGUUGACCUCGGAUCAGGUAGGAAUACCCGCUGAACUUAAGCAUAUCAAUAAGCGGAGGA
This 638-nucleotide ribosomal RNA is filed under the name Trichoderma longipile. RNAcentral describes it as "eukaryotic LSU rRNA". The stretch from base 256 to 409 matches the Rfam family "5.8S ribosomal RNA". The record is from RNAcentral. Lineage: Eukaryota; Fungi; Ascomycota; Sordariomycetes; Hypocreales; Hypocreaceae.